RNAcentral lists this ribosomal RNA (423 nucleotides) under uncultured bacterium. RNAcentral describes it as "bacterial SSU rRNA". It matches the Rfam family "Bacterial small subunit ribosomal RNA", at positions 355 to 774 of the family's 1533-position model. The record is from RNAcentral.
UGAGGAAUAUUGGUCGAUGGGCGCGAGCCUGAACCAGCCAAGUAGCGUGAAGGAUGAAGGUCCUAUGGAUUGUAAACUUCUUUUAUAGCAGGAUAAAGUGACCCACGUGUGGGUUUUUGUAUGUAUGCUAUGAAUAAGGAUCGGCUAACUCCGUGCCAGCAGCCGCGGUAAUACGGAGGAUCCGAGCGUUAUCCGGAUUUAUUGGGUUUAAAGGGUGCGUAGGCGGAAAGAUAAGUCAGCCUGUGAAAGUUUGCGGCUCAACCGUAAAAUUGCAGUUGAUACUGUUUUUCUUGAGUGUACAUAAGGUAGGCGGAAUUCGUGGUGUAGCGGUGAAAUGCUUAGAUAUCACGAAGAACUCCGAUUGCGAAGGCAGCUUACCGGGGUACAACUGACGCUGAUGCACGAAAGUGUGGGUAUCAAACA